RNAcentral lists this microRNA precursor (193 nucleotides) under Oryza sativa Indica Group (long-grained rice). Its description in RNAcentral is "MIR812 microRNA precursor family". It matches the Rfam family "MIR812 microRNA precursor family". Lineage: Eukaryota; Viridiplantae; Streptophyta; Magnoliopsida; Poales; Poaceae. The record is from Rfam by way of RNAcentral.
AAAAAGACAAACCCUGGUUUCCGUGUCCAACGUUUGACCGUUCGUCUUAUUUGAAAAAAUUAAAAAGAUAAGUCACGCAUAAAGUAUUAAUCAUGUUUUAUCAUCUAACAACAAUGAAAAUACUAACUAUAAAAAAAUUUCACAUAAGACGGACAGUCAAACGUUGGCACGGGAACCCACGGUUUGUCUUUUU